AGUGAACGCUGGCGGUAGGCCUAACACAUGCAAGUCGAACGGCAGCACAGUAAGAGCUUGCUCUUACGGGUGGCGAGUGGCGGACGGGUGAGGAAUACAUCGGAAUCUACUUUUUCGUGGGGGAUAACGUAGGGAAACUUACGCUAAUACCGCAUACUACCUACGGGUGAAAGCAGGGGAUCUUCGGACCUUGCGCGAUUGAAUGAGCCGAUGUCGGAUUAGCUAGUUGGCGGGGUAAAGGCCCACCAAGGCGACGAUCCGUAGCUGGUCUGAGAGGAUGAUCGGCCACACUGGAACUGAGACACGGUCCAGACUCCUACGGGAGGCAGCAGUGGGGAAUAUUGGACAAUGGGCGCAAGCCUGAUCCAGCCAUACCGCGUGGGUGAAGAAGGCCUUCGGGUUGUAAAGCCCUUUUGUUGGGAAAGAAAAGCAGCAGGUUAAUACCCCGCUGUUCUGACGGUACCCAAAGAAUAAGCACCGGCUAACUUCGUG
This 492-nucleotide ribosomal RNA is filed under the name uncultured bacterium. RNAcentral describes it as "partial 16S ribosomal RNA". It matches the Rfam family "Bacterial small subunit ribosomal RNA", at positions 29 to 507 of the family's 1533-position model. The record is from RNAcentral.